Oenanthe melanoleuca is the source of this 1827-nucleotide long non-coding RNA. RefSeq lists it as uncharacterized. The record is from RefSeq and is a predicted model, not a curated record. Lineage: Eukaryota; Metazoa; Chordata; Aves; Passeriformes; Muscicapidae. The transcript is spliced from 2 exons.
CAGGGGGGAAAAAAACUGGGGUGAGUUGGAGGUAAAACAUACCUAUGUAGUGAAACUUCAGCCAAGGAAACCAAAUUCAAAGGUUAAGAGAACUUGCUUUAGGGACUGCUGAUGUAUAUGGGAGAUCAGUAAACCUGUUAGAUGUCAUGUGUGUUGUUCUGGUUUUACUGUUGGAUGCAAUUUUGUCAGUUUCUGGUUUUGAUGAGUAAAUGUGGCAGAGCCUAAAUAUAUGGUGGGGUAUUGGGGAUUUGGGGGGAUUUGGUUUUUAUUGUUUCUUUGGGGUUUUGGGGUUUUGUUUUAUAUGGUUAAUUGUCUUGAUAUAUCAGUCAUUUGUUGUGGGUUUUUAGGUCCAUAAUUUGUACAGCUGCAUUAAAGUGGCAGAAGAUUUUGUAUCUCCUGAACACGUGAAGCACUGCUUCCGUCUGACCCAGGAGUUCAGGCAUCUGUCUAAUACUCACACAAACCAUGAGGAUAAACUGCAGGUGAAGAACAUUAUCUACCAUGCAGUGAAAGAUGCUGUUGGCACAUUGAAAGCUCAUGAAUCCAAACUAGCUAGAUCGUAGGAAUUGCUAAUUCCAAAUGCCCUGUCAAGUAGGCCUUUUGCUCAUGGUAUAUCCAGGGACUGCACAGGACUGCCUCUGCAGGAGCAGGAGCUUCUCCCUGGAGCUGCUGUGGUCAGUAUUACACACACUCUUCAGCCACCGUUUUCUGCACUGUCUCAACACUGAAGGUCUCAUGGAAAGUCGCACUGUUAAAUGCAGAAUUCCAGAUUCUAAAAGGUGCCAUAUCCCUUUCCUGUGGCCUUUUGCAAAUUGAAAGAACAUGGAAACCACUUGGUGUUCCUGCAUAUUACGAUUAGAAAUGGUAUAAAGAGCGUGGAUGGUUUUUUCCCUCAUGCCUAGUUAGUCUCCACUAAGUUAGAACGUGCAGGAGGUUGGUUGUCCUACUGUGGACUUGGUUGAUAACUGCUGAAAGAAUGUGACCAACAGUAGCCCAGCUGCAGAAAUUCAAACUUCCUGUGUGAGAUACAGGCCAAGGAAAAGGAUAAAGCUGUUCUCUGCACUCCCCUUCUUCUAGCCGUUUCUCUAUACACUGUAGAGUUGCAGAACUAAAGGGAGAACCCACUUUUUUUCCCCCUGGGAGACUCCAGAAAUAAAAGAAUUGUGUAUUUAGUGAAAAAAUAGGUUUGUAGUGAAACAGUUAAUAUUUCAUGAAAGUAGAUAUUUUUAGUAUUUUUGAGGUACCACAAUUGUUCCUGGAUUUUCAAGGAAAGGUAUUACGUUUAGUCUUCCUUUCAAUAAAAUCAAGAAGUGAUUUUUAGAAAGCAGUCCAAAAUAGCACAAAAACAGCCAAAGGAGAAUUGAAUAGAAAUUGACAUCCCACCUCCCUUGCCCAUAUUACCUCACCUAUCUUCUCCCUCUCUCUACACCACUCUGCUUCCUCAAAAUGAGAAAUAAAAAGGAGUAUAAACUCUGUUCUCACAUGGAGAUGUUGUACAUCUCUCCCUGCACUGGUGAUGCAGGCAAUAUUCACCCAAUACCAGUGCUACCUGUAAACAUCUAUAAAACACCUAUCCUUUCCAAAGAGAUGGAAAAAUUAACUUUUGGUGUCAGCUUUGUCCAGAACUAUUUUAAGUAAAAUGUUCCUGCUUGAUAGAACUGUAUUCAGAAUUUACUAAUGUCAGCAUUGAUGCAAUGGAUUUCAUUGUCUGGGUACAUGGGGAAAUGUAUUGACCUUAUCUCCAGCUGUACUGUAGUGCCACUUGCAGGCCUGUUAAUAUGUUCACGGUUAUUUCAUUUUUUAAAAAAUAAAAAUCAUUUACUGUAA